Molecule: ribosomal RNA, 470 nt
Filed under: Veillonella parvula
Lineage: Bacteria; Bacillati; Bacillota; Negativicutes; Veillonellales; Veillonellaceae
Description: bacterial SSU rRNA
Rfam family: Bacterial small subunit ribosomal RNA
Source: RNAcentral
GACGAACGCUGGCGGCGUGCUUAACACAUGCAAGUCGAACGAAGAGCGAUGGAAGCUUGCUUCUAUCAAUCUUAGUGGCGAACGGGUGAGUAACGCGUAAUCAACCUGCCCUUCAGAGGGGGACAACAGUUGGAAACGACUGCUAAUACCGCAUACGAUCUAACCUCGGCAUCGAGGAAAGAUGAAAGGUGGCCUCUAUGUAUAAGCUAUCACUGAAGGAGGGGAUUGCGUCUGAUUAGCUAGUUGGAGGGGUAACGGCCCACCAAGGCGAUGAUCAGUAGCCGGUCUGAGAGGAUGAACGGCCACAUUGGGACUGAGACACGGCCCAGACUCCUACGGGAGGCAGCAGUGGGGAAUCUUCCGCAAUGGACGAAAGUCUGACGGAGCAACGCCGCGUGAGUGAUGACGGCCUUCGGGUUGUAAAGCUCUGUUAAUCGGGACGAAAGGCCUUCUUGCGAAUAGUAGAAGGA